RNAcentral lists this long non-coding RNA (284 nucleotides) under Mytilus galloprovincialis (Mediterranean mussel). The record is from RNAcentral. Lineage: Eukaryota; Metazoa; Mollusca; Bivalvia; Mytilida; Mytilidae.
GUUAUUAAACCAAGUAUUAGUAAUUGUUCAGUAUUGUCUUCAACAACUGACACAACUGCCGUCACAUUUGUUAUGCCUGUAUUUUUCUAUUUUUCAUCUAUAUAUAAUUAAGAUUGAGGAAACAACAGAGACAUAUAUACAUCUGCAUCAUGUCUUGGGUCACAUCAUUAAAUUGACAACGAGAAUCGGUUAAAAACAGAUCUUUACGACAACAAUCUUGAUGUAGUCUCAAAUAAUAUAUCGUGAAUUGUCAUUUUCUUUGUAGCAACUUUCCAGCAGCACCA